GACGAACGCUGGCGGCGUGCUUAACACAUGCAAGUCGAGCGGAGCGGCGAACGGGUGAGUAACGCGUGAGUACCUGCCCCCCUCUCUGGGAUAACCGUUGGAAACGGCUGCUAAUACCGGUUAGUGGGGGAUGCCUCGCGUCCUAUCAGCUUGUGGGUGGGGUAGGGGCCUACCAAGGCGACGCCGGGUAGCCGGCCUGAGAGGGCGACAGGCCACAUUGGGCUGAGAUACGGCCCAAACUCCUACGGGAGGCAGCAGUGGGGAAUAUUGCACAAUGGGGGAAACCCUGAUGUAGCAACGCCGCGUGCGGGAUGACGGCCUUCGGGUUGUAAACCGCUUUCAGCCAUGACGCGGUAGUGGCAGAAGAAGCACCGGCUAACUACGUGCCAGCCGCCGUGGUAAUAC
RNAcentral lists this ribosomal RNA (405 nucleotides) under uncultured bacterium. Its description in RNAcentral is "partial 16S ribosomal RNA". It matches the Rfam family "Bacterial small subunit ribosomal RNA", at positions 28 to 526 of the family's 1533-position model. The record is from RNAcentral.